GAUGAACGCUGGCGGCGUGCCUAAUACAUGCAAGUCGAGCGAACAGACGAGGAGCUUGCUCCUCUGACGUUAGCGGCGGACGGGUGAGUAACACGUGGAUAACCUACCUAUAAUACUGGGAUAACUUCGGGAAACCGGAGCUAAUACCGGAUAAUAUAUUGAACCGCUUGGUUCAAUAGUGAAAGACGGUUUUGCUGUCACUUAUAGAUGGAUCCGCGCCGCAUUAGCUAGUUGGUAAGGUAACGGCUUACCAAGGCAACGAUGCGUAGCCGACCUGAGAGGGUGAUCGGCCACACUGGAACUGAGACACGGUCCAGACUCCUACGGGAGGCAGCAGUAGGGAAUCUUCCGCAAUGGGCGAAAGCUUGACGGAGCAACGCCGCGUGAGUGAUGAAGGUCUUCGGAUCGUAAAACUCUGUUAUUAGGGAAGAACAAAUGUGUAAGUAACUAUGCACGUCUUGACGGUACCUAAUCAGAAAGCAACGGCUAACUACGUG
RNAcentral lists this ribosomal RNA (497 nucleotides) under uncultured bacterium. RNAcentral describes it as "partial 16S ribosomal RNA". It matches the Rfam family "Bacterial small subunit ribosomal RNA", at positions 28 to 507 of the family's 1533-position model. The record is from RNAcentral.